GACGAACGCUGGCGGCGUGCUUAACACAUGCAAGUCGAACGGCAAGGCCCUGCUUUUGUGGGGUGCUCGAGUGGCGAACGGGUGAGUAACACGUGAGUAACCUGCUCUUGACUUUGGGAUAACUUCAGGAAACUGGGGCUAAUACCGGAUCGGAGCUCCUGCUGCAUGGUGGGGGUUGGAAAGUUUCGGCGGUUGGGGAUGGACUCGCGGCUUACUAGCUUGUUGGUGGGGUAGUGGCUUACCCAGGCUUUGACGGGUAGCCGGCCUGAGAGGGUGACCGGCGACAAGGGUACUAAGGGAGGGCGCAGACGGCAACGUGGGACAGAAGGGGGAAAUAUUGCACAGUGGGCGCAAGUCUGAUACAACAGCGCUGGGGUCGUGAUGACGUCCUUCGGGUUGUGAACCGCUGUCGCCUGUGACGAAGCGUGAGUGACGGUAAUGGAUAAAGAAGCACCGGCUAACUACGUG
This 468-nucleotide ribosomal RNA is filed under the name uncultured bacterium. RNAcentral's name for it is "partial 16S ribosomal RNA". It matches the Rfam family "Bacterial small subunit ribosomal RNA", at positions 28 to 507 of the family's 1533-position model. The record is from RNAcentral.